Molecule: long non-coding RNA, 813 nt
Organism: Jatropha curcas
Lineage: Eukaryota; Viridiplantae; Streptophyta; Magnoliopsida; Malpighiales; Euphorbiaceae
Source: RefSeq, a predicted model, not a curated record
CUCACUCUCUCUAUUUCUGUAACUGACCAAACCUAAUAACUAAACAGAAAGGAAAACAUGGAAGAGGCUGUAGUUGAUAUCUCUUUCUUGCCCAGAAACAUGCUUCUCUUUUCUUUUUUUUUUUUCUAUCAGCAAAUAAAAUAUUUUAUUAAUUUUUAACAUAUCCAGGAAAAAUUUAACAUUCCAAAUUCUUUGGAUAUAACUCCAAAUUUAUUUCUUAUUACUGCAUUUUUUGAGGCUUGCCCUACAACUUGCCUUCUUUUCUUCUCUCAUGAGAGGUAGGCAUUUUUUUUUUUGGGCUUUUUCUACACUGUAAUCUCUUCACUCCAGUUCUUAGAUCUUUUUGGGUAUAGGAGUUUCUGGUUAAGGUUCUUUUGAGUUGAGUUUUUCGUUCUUCUAACCUCCCAAUUUCUUAAUAAUUCAUCGGUUCAAAAAAAAUAGUGUAUUGUACACAUGAUGACUUGAAACUGUACCCACAUCUUACGUGAAUUACCCAUCUCAUAUAUAUCCCGAUCUGGAUAACUUUCUGCACAAACAGCCAGAGAUCAAAUUAACCCUAGAGGAGCAGAUCAGUAUGUAGCAGGAUCUGAAGCUUAAGGUGGAGAGAGAGAGAAUAAGGAGAUGAAAGCAAAUUAAUUAGGUAUUUUUAGUGGAAACAAAGACUCCUAACACAAAUCUGUGAACAGAAACAAAAAUGACCCAUAUAUCAAGAUUUGAUCUUUAGCCAGCAAACAAUUACCCAAAGGAAAGAACUAAACACAGCCAAGGAAACCCAAAAAGGAAAAAAAAAAAAAAAACCCUGACUUGUAUCUA